Non-coding RNA from Callithrix jacchus (white-tufted-ear marmoset), 853 nucleotides. The record is from RefSeq and is a predicted model, not a curated record. Lineage: Eukaryota; Metazoa; Chordata; Mammalia; Primates; Cebidae.
GCCAAAAAUUUAACAUUAAUCUCCUGAUUCCAGUUGCAGAGGGCAUGAAUGAAAUCUGGCUUCAUUUUGACAAUGGAAAACAGUAUGCACACUGGAUGGCAGCCUGCAGAUUAGCCUCCAAAGGCAAGACCAUGGCGGACAGUUCUUACAACUUAGAAAUUCAGAACAUUCUUUCCUUUCUGAAGAUGCAGCAUUUAAACCCAGAUCCUCAGUGAAUACCAGAGCAGAUCAUGACCAAUACCAAUCCUUAAUGUUUGGUGUCUCCUCACUAUCUAAAAAAGUAUAAGAACAAGCAGCCAGGCUAUAUAAGAGGUUUGAUAACAGCAAGAAUCUUGGAGUCCCAUCAGAAUGUAGCUCAGAUGAGUCUAAUUGAGGCCAAGAUGAGAUUUAUUCAAGCUUGGCAGUCAUUAUCUGAAUUUGGCAUCACACACUUCAUUGCAAGGUUCCAAGGGGGCAAAAAAGAAGAACUUAUUAGAAUUGCAUACAACAGACUGAUUAGGAUGGGUGCCAGCACUGGAGAUGCAAUUAAAACAUGGCAUUUCAGCAACAUGAAACAGUGGAAUGUAAACUGGGAAAUCAAAAUGGUCACCAUAGAGUUUGCAGAUGAAGUACGAUUGUCCUUCAUUUGUACUGAAGUAGAUUGCAAAGUGGUUCAUGAACUCAUUGGUGGCUACAUAUUUUUCUCAACACAUGCAAAAGACCAAAAUGAGAGUUUAGAUGAAGAGAUGUUCUACAAACUUACCAGUGGUUGGGUGUGAAUAGAAAUACUGUGUAAUGAAACUCCACAGCCAUAACAAUAUUUAACUUUAAAAGCUGUUCAUUAUAUGCUGCUUAAUUAAAGUAAGCUUAAAAU